UCAGCCACAUUGGGACUGAGACACGGCCCAGACUCCUACGGGAGGCAGCAGUGGGGAAUAUUGGACAAUGGGCGCAAGCCUGAUCCAGCCAUACCGCGUGUGUGAAGAAGGCUUUCGGGUUGUAAAGCACUUUAAGUAAGGAGGAAAAGAUUGUAGUUAAUACCUGCAAUCCGUGACGUUACUUACAGAAUAAGGACCGGCUAAUUCCGUGCCAGCAGCCGCGGUAAUACGGAAGGUCCAAGCGUUAAUCGGAAUUACUGGGCGUAAAGCGCGCGUAGGUGGUUUUUUAAGUUGGAUGUGAAAGCCCUGGGCUCAACCUAGGAACUGCAUCCAAAACUAGAUGACUAGAGUACGAAAGAGGGAAGUAGAAUUCACAGUGUAGCGGUGGAAUGCGUAGAUAUUGUGAAGAAUACCAAUGGCGAAGGCAGCUUCCUGGUUCUGUACUGACACUGAGGUGCGAAAGCGUGGGUAGCGAACAGGAUUAGAUACCCUGGUAGUCCACGCCGUAAACGAUGACAACUAGCUGUUGGGAGACAAGAUCUCUCAGUGGCGCAGCUAACGCUUUAAGUUGUCCGCCUGGGGAGUACGGCCGCAAGGUUAAAACUCAAAUGAAUUGACGGGGACCCGCACAAGCGGUGGAGCAUGUGGUUUAAUUCGAUGCAACGCGAAAAACCUUACCUACUCUUGACAUACUUGGAAGCUCUUGUAAUGAGAGUGUGCUUUUAGAGCCAAGAUACAGGUGCUGCAUGGCUGUCGUCAGCUCGUGUCGUGAGAUGUUGGGUUAAGUCCCAUAACGAGCGCAACCCUUACCCUUAUUUGCCAGCGGUUCGGCCGGGAACUAUAAGGGGACUGCCGGUGACAAACCGGAGGAAGGUGAGGACGACGUCAAGUCAUCAUGGCCCUUACGAGUAGGGCUACACACGUGCUACAAUGGGGAAUACAGACGGACGCUAAAGCGUGAGCUGGUGCUAAUCCUAAAAAAUUUCUCGUAGUCCGGAUUGCAGUCUGCAACUCGACUGCAUGAAGUCGGAAUCGCUAGUAAUCGCGAAUCAGCAUGUCGCGGUGAAUACGUUCUCGGGUCUUGUACACACCGCCCGUCACACCAUGGAAGUGUGUUGCACCAGAAGUAGGUAGUCUAACCUUCGGGAAGGCGCUUACCACGGUGUGAUCCAUGACUGGGGUGAAGUCGUAACAAGGUAGCCGUAGGGGAACCUGUGGCUG
This 1221-nucleotide ribosomal RNA is filed under the name metagenome. Its description in RNAcentral is "bacterial SSU rRNA". It matches the Rfam family "Bacterial small subunit ribosomal RNA", at positions 304 to 1520 of the family's 1533-position model. The record is from RNAcentral.